This 394-nucleotide long non-coding RNA is filed under the name Rattus norvegicus (Norway rat). RNAcentral describes it as "long non-coding RNA NONRATT009463". The record is from RNAcentral. Lineage: Eukaryota; Metazoa; Chordata; Mammalia; Rodentia; Muridae.
CAAGGAUGUGUGGUGAGCUGUCUGCCUUGGGCCUGGAGCUCUCACUCCAACAGCUCCCUAGUGGUCCUCGCAGCUGGUGGCCGGCGCACUGUGCUGCCUGCCCUGCCCUGUGAGUCUGCACACCAUGGCCUGCUCUGCUGCCUGGUGGGCACCCUCCCACUAGCCAUAUUCCUGCGGGUGUCCUCCUUGCCAAAGAUGAUCCUGCUGUCUGGGCUGACGACUUCCUACAUCCUUGUCCUGGAGCUCAGUGGAUACACCAAGGUUGGGGGCGGUGCCCUCUCUGGGCGCAGCUAUGAGCCCAUCAUGGCUAUCCUGCUGUUCUCAUGCACGCUGGCCCUGCACGCCAGGCAGGUGGACGUCAGGCUACGGCUGGACUACCUCUGGGCAGCACAGG